This 793-nucleotide long non-coding RNA is filed under the name Selaginella moellendorffii. Its description in RNAcentral is "long non-coding RNA (SMOE_LNC000487)". The record is from RNAcentral. Lineage: Eukaryota; Viridiplantae; Streptophyta; Lycopodiopsida; Selaginellales; Selaginellaceae.
GACAAUUCCAUGGCUUGCUGGACUUCUCUUCCUUGUGCCUACUUAAAGCGUGUGUGGACCACAACACGAUCACUUCGGCGACGUAAGUGUCCUGCCUUUUCUUCUUUCGCUCCAAAGUCUUUCAUAACGACGCUUGGAUUUAAUCAGGUCUUGGAGUAUAUUGUCAAAUGUGAGUUUCUUUUAUGAUCUUGGCAGCAGCCAAACCCGGAAGAUAUAUUCGACCCAAAAAUUCCAAGUGAAAGGUUUGAUGCAAGUUCCACGUUGUUUUCGCUGGAUGGUAAGCUAACAUUUUCCAGACGUUUCAGCAACGCCAGCACUGUCCUGUUUCGCGUAUCGGUUUUGGCUAGCAUUUAUACUCGACUUUCCCGCGAUAGAAAUGGUAAGUCUCUUUUACUCUUGCGUAAGAACAAUUUCUAAGAAGCUCCACCUUGAACCAGGCUUUCACUUCCAACGCACUUCCAACACAAGAACAGGCCAGUCGGAUCCACGCUCUCCUUGAUGGCCUUGAGCGUCGAGUACUUCUCACCAAAGAACGACUCCUCCCAGUAUGGCUCGAAGUAAUCUCCUUCGUUCUUGUAACACCCUCCGCCAGGCGUGAUGCUUCGAAACAGACCAUUCGUGGAGGUGAGACUUCGAGAAAACUGAUAUCGCUCCUCCACACUCGUGCUCUCGUUCCAGGUCCUAACGAUAAGUACAUGCCACAGAGCCUCCCUCCAGACGGCACUCAGGGCAUUGUUCCUGCCUUGGACGCUCGAUGCUGCGCCUCCAAACACAAACAAGCCGAAGAUGGGAC